RNAcentral lists this ribosomal RNA (610 nucleotides) under uncultured bacterium. RNAcentral's name for it is "bacterial SSU rRNA". It matches the Rfam family "Bacterial small subunit ribosomal RNA", at positions 613 to 1221 of the family's 1533-position model. The record is from RNAcentral.
UCCGGGCCUGCAGAUGGGUACGGGCAGGCUAGAGUGCGGUAGGGGAGAUUGGAAUUCCUGGUGUAGCGGUGGAAUGCGCAGAUAUCAGGAGGAACACCGAUGGCGAAGGCAGAUCUCUGGGCCGCUACUGACGCUGAGGAGCGAAAGCAUGGGGAGCGAACAGGAUUAGAUACCCUGGUAGUCCAUGCCGUAAACGUUGGGAACUAGAUGUAGGGCCUGUUCCACGGGUUCUGUGUCGUAGCUAACGCAUUAAGUUCCCCGCCUGGGGAGUACGGCCGCAAGGCUAAAACUCAAAGGAAUUGACGGGGGCCCGCACAAGCGGCGGAGCAUGCGGAUUAAUUCGAUGCAACGCGAAGAACCUUACCAAGGCUUGACAUAUAGAAGAACACUGCAGAGAUGCAGGACUCUUUGGACACUUCUAUACAGGUGGUGCAUGGUUGUCGUCAGCUCGUGUCGUGAGAUGUUCGGUUAAGUCCGGCAACGAGCGCAACCCUCGUCCUAUGUUGCCAGCACGUGAUGGUGGGAACUCAUGGGAUACUGCCGUGGUCAACACGGAGGAAGGUGGGGACGACGUCAAAUCAUCAUGCCCAUUAUGUCUUGGGCUUCACGC